AGUGAACGCUGGCGGUAGGCCUAACACAUGCAAGUCGAACGGCAGCACAGUAAGAGCUUGCUCUUACGGGUGGCGAGUGGCGGACGGGUGAGGAAUACAUCGGAAUCUACUUUUUCGUGGGGGAUAACGUAGGGAAACUUACGCUAAUACCGCAUACGACCUACGGGUGAAAGCAGGGGAUCUUCGGACCUUGCGCGAUUGAAUGAGCCGAUGUCGGAUUAGCUAGUUGGCGGGGUAAAGGCCCACCAAGGCGACGAUCCGUAGCUGGUCUGAGAGGAUGAUCAGCCACACUGGAACUUAGACACGGUCCAGACUCCUACGGGAGGCAGAAGUGGGGAAUAUUGGACAAUGGGCGCAAGCCUGAUCCAGCCAUACCGCGUGGGUGAAGAAGGCCUUCGGGUUGUAAAGCCCUUUUGUUGGGAAAGAAAAGCAGCAGGUUAAUACCCCGCUGUUCUGACGGUACCCAAAGAAUAAGCACCGGCUAACUUCGUG
RNAcentral lists this ribosomal RNA (492 nucleotides) under uncultured bacterium. RNAcentral's name for it is "partial 16S ribosomal RNA". It matches the Rfam family "Bacterial small subunit ribosomal RNA", at positions 29 to 507 of the family's 1533-position model. The record is from RNAcentral.